RNAcentral lists this ribosomal RNA (484 nucleotides) under uncultured bacterium. RNAcentral's name for it is "partial 16S ribosomal RNA". It matches the Rfam family "Bacterial small subunit ribosomal RNA", at positions 30 to 507 of the family's 1533-position model. The record is from RNAcentral.
AUUGAACGCUGGCGGCAGGCCUAACACAUGCAAGUCGAGCGGAUGAAGGGAGCUUGCUCCUGGAUUCAGCGGCGGACGGGUGAGUAAUGCCUAGGAAUCUGCCUGGUAGUGGGGUAUAACGUCCUGAAACGGGCGCUAAUACCGCAUACGUCCUGAGGGAGAAAGUGGGGGGUCUUCGGACCGCACGCUAUCAGAGGAGCCUAGGUGGGAUUAGCUAGUUGGUGGGGUAAAGGCCUACCAAGCCGACGAUCGGUAACUGGUCUGAGAGGAUGAUCAGUCACACUGGAACUGAGACACGGUCAAGAGUACUACGGGAGGCAGCAGUGGGGAACAUUGGACAGUGGGCGAAAGCCUGAUCCAGCCAUGCCGCGUGUGUGAAGAAGGUCUUGGGAUUGUAAAGCACGUUAAGUUGGGAGGAAGGGCAGUAAGUUAAUACCUUGCUGGUGUGACGUUACCAACAGAAUAAGCACCGGCUAACUUCGUG